CGCUGGCGGCGUGCCUAAUACAUGCAAGUCGAACGCUGCUUAAGAAGAAACUUCGGUUUUUUCUUAAGNGGAGUGGCGGACGGGUGAGUAACACGUGGGGAACCUAUCNAUCAGCGGGGGAUAACACUUGGAAACAGGUGCUAAUACCGCAUANGGCUUUUUUUCACCUGAAAGAAAGCUCAAAGGCGCUUUACAGCGUCACUGAUGGCUGGUCCCGCGGUGCAUUANCCANUUGGUGAGGUAACGGCUCACCAAAGCAACNAUGCAUACCCGACCUGAGAGGGUGAUCGGCCACACUGGGACUGANACACGGCCCANACUCCUACGGGAGGCAGCAGUAGGGAAUCUNCGGCAAUGGACGCAAGUCUGACCGAGCAACGCCGCGUGAGUGAAGAAGGUUUUCGGAUCGUAAAGCUCUGUUGUCAGCAAAGAACAGGAGAAAGAGGAAAUGCUUUUUCCAUGACGGUAGCUGACCAGAAAGCCACGGCUAACUACGUGCCAGCAGCCGCGGUAAUACGUAGGUGGCAAGCGUUGUCCGGAUUUAUUGGGCGUAAAGCGAGCGCAGGCGGUGAUUUAAGUCUGAUGUGAAAGCCCCCAGCUCAACUGGGGAGGGUCAUUGGAAACUGGAUCACUUGAGUGCANAAGAGGAGAGUGGAAUUCCAUGUGUAGCGGUGAAAUGCGUAAAUAUAUGGAGGAACACCAGUGGCGAAGGCGGCUCUCUGGUCUGUAACUGACGCUGAGGCUCGAAAGCGUGGGUAGCAAACAGGAUUAGAUACCCUGGUNGUCCACGCCGUAAACGAUGAGUGCUAAGUGUUGGAGGGUUUCCGCCCUUCAGUGCUGCAGUUAACGCAUUAAGCACUCCGCCUGGGGAGUACGACCGCAAGGUUGAAACUCAAAGGAAUUGACGGGGGCCCGCACAAGCGGUGGAGCAUGUGGUUUAAUUCGAAGCAACGCGAAGAACCUUACCAGGUCUUGACAUCCUUUGACCGCCCUAGAGAUAGGGUUUCCCCUUCGGGGGCAAAGUGACAGGUGGUGCAUGGUUGUCGUCAGCUCGUGUCGUGAGAUGUUGGGUUAAGUCCCGUAACGAGCGCAACCCUUAUUGUUAGUUGCCAGCAUUGAGUUGGGCACUCUAGCAAGACUGCCGGUGACA
Molecule: ribosomal RNA, 1150 nt
Filed under: Tetragenococcus halophilus
Lineage: Bacteria; Bacillati; Bacillota; Bacilli; Lactobacillales; Enterococcaceae
Description: bacterial SSU rRNA
Rfam family: Bacterial small subunit ribosomal RNA
Source: RNAcentral